AAAAAAUUACAGUGGUGCCCCGCAAGACGAAUGCCUCGCAAGACGAAAAACUCGCUAAACGAAAGGGUUUUCCGUUUUUUGAGUCGUUCCGCAAGACGAAUUUCCCUAUGGGCUUGCUUCGCAAGACGAAACGUCUUGCGAGUUCUUGCGAGUUUGUUUCCUUUUUCUUAAAGCCGCUAAGCCCCACUAAUAGCCGUGCUUCGCAAGACAAAAAAACCGCAAGACGAAGAGACUCGCGGAACGGAUUAAUUUCGUCUUGCGAGGCACCACUGUAUUAAA
Molecule: long non-coding RNA, 279 nt
Organism: Podarcis raffonei (Aeolian wall lizard)
Lineage: Eukaryota; Metazoa; Chordata; Lepidosauria; Squamata; Lacertidae
Exons: 2
Source: RefSeq, a predicted model, not a curated record